AUAGCAUUCCAAAGCCAGAAAAAAGUAAUUGCUGUUUUUGUUUUUUUGUUUUUCUUAAGUUUCUCUUCUCUCUCUCUCUCUCUCUCUCUCUCUCUCUCUCUCUGCUUCUGGUAUGGUCACAUUCGAUGUAAGGGUUUUCCCAAAGAACUGAUAAUAAAAGUUUUAUUAUGCUCUCACUAUACCAUGGUUUAUUUCCACCACUUUAUUUAUGUCUUUAUUCUGUGCCACCUUUUGCUGUCCCCUUGCUAAUACUUACGUUUCCAUGGCAACCAGGCCAUUUGUAUGGACGAUGAAUCAUGGCAAAGUCACAACAAAUACGAUAAAAAGUCUCUUCGCUGUACUGGUGAUGAGGUGAGGCCAGAGCCUACAAAACAGAAAAAAAUUCUCACAUAUGUUUCUGGUACAAAAGGACAUGCCAGAAAAGAAUUGAAGUCGUCUCAUAAAUAUUGAAAGAUUCUGUAUCAUUGACCGGAGGGGCGAAUACAGGAAGUCUGUAACACCAUGUUACAAGAAUUAAAGCAGGAAAGUGCCGUGUUUGUUUCACAGGGAGAAGGAUGAGUAUCCCCAGCACCAGGCUGGGAGGAGUGUCACAAAGCCCUGGAAGGAUUGCAGAGCUGUGUCACAGAGGGAACCCUCUUGUCAGCUCUUCUGGAAUCUUACUGACCUUUGCCCCACAGCCUGGGCUGUCCCUUUUUCUGCCUCAGAGGCUAAGGCUCUUCCCAGAACCCCGUCAUCCCCCUGUGAUGGCAGCAUGACUGAGCAGCAGACCCGGUUCCUUCCCCCUGCUUCCUGCUUCUGCACACACAGCCAGUGUAGGCUCUGCCUGUUCUCAGUCCACCUGAAUUGCAGCCAAGCGUAGAAGUUAGAUGACAUUCCCAGAAUAGUCUUUGCCUCUUUUGCCAUCACCGUGUACUACUAGGGAGGCCAACAUGGAAAAGAGUUGAAGAGAAUGAAAAAACCUAACAAGUUUUGUCCCUGCCACCAACCACUGAAAAAAGAUCGGAGGACAAAGGCAGCUAAUGAAAAGACAAGAAUUGACAAAAACCACAGGGUCAUUUCCUGCAAACCUGAAGGGUUGCGAACAGAACCCUCCAAACGUGAACAGGAGCAGGACAGAGCAGAUGCGGAUCGUGAACACAACCGUGGGGCCCACACCAUUUAGCAGUGUUCACAGCAUGUCAGUGAUUUAUUUAGUCCUUUCCUUCCUCUCCUGUGAGUAGAAGAAAUGGGCGCACUUCAGUUCAGAGCCAGGACCUUGCAGGAGUCUCUACUACCGGAGAGAGAAUUCAUCAUACAAAUUUUUAAAUUACGGCAUUAUAAUUCAUACUAAUUCGCCUUUGUGAAUGGUUGGCCACAUUAAUGAAGCAGGAUAAUCAAGCUCAUCUUUUUUUCCUCUGAGUAAUAUUGGUUGCUUUUCUUCUUCUGGCUCGUCAUCUUUAAGUCUACCGUUUAUCUUUUUCAUGUCUGGUUAUAAUUUGCAAGACUUUAAUUUGUGUGAGUAAUCAGUACGUACGACUCCAAAUGAAAUUUUACUGUUUCAAAGAACACUUCAGUGUAUCAAAGGACUUUCAGAGUUAAUUAUAAAAUCCUAGAUUAUGUAAUAUAAUCCUACAUUUAUUAGAUACAUUGUAAACUUUUAUAAUUAUAAAACCAAUAUUUAACAUAAUUCUAAUCCUAAAUUAAAGGUCCUAAUAAUUUC
Molecule: long non-coding RNA, 1699 nt
Organism: Herpailurus yagouaroundi (jaguarundi)
Lineage: Eukaryota; Metazoa; Chordata; Mammalia; Carnivora; Felidae
Exons: 2
Source: RefSeq, a predicted model, not a curated record